GCUCAGGAUGAACGCUGGCGGCGUGCCUAAUACAUGCAAGUCGAGCGAACAGAUAAGGAGCUUGCUCCUUUGACGUUAGCGGCGGACGGGUGAGUAACACGUGGAUAACCUACCUAUAAGACUGGGAUAACUUCGGGAAACCGGAGCUAAUACCGGAUAACAUAUUGAACCGCAUGGUUCAAUAGUGAAAGGCGGCUUUGCUGUCACUUAUAGAUGGAUCCGCGCCGUAUUAGCUAGUUGGUAAGGUAACGGCUUACCAAGGCAACGAUACGUAGCCGACCUGAGAGGGUGAUCGGCCACACUGGAACUGAGACACGGUCCAGACUCCUACGGGAGGCAGCAGUAGGGAAUCUUCCGCAAUGGGCGAAAGCCUGACGGAGCAACGCCGCGUGAGUGAUGAAGGUCUUCGGAUCGUAAAACUCUGUUAUCAGGGAAGAACAAAUGUGUAAGUAACUGUGCACAUCUUGACGGUACCUGAUCAGAAAGCCACGGCUAACUA
Molecule: ribosomal RNA, 499 nt
Filed under: Staphylococcus sp.
Lineage: Bacteria; Bacillati; Bacillota; Bacilli; Caryophanales; Staphylococcaceae
Description: bacterial SSU rRNA
Rfam family: Bacterial small subunit ribosomal RNA
Source: RNAcentral